AUAUUUACCUGCCAAGGGUCUUGGCCUAUGAUGAUCACAAAGGUGGCUUUCCCGAGGCAACGUUCAUCUAUUGUAUUCCUGGUAUGCUGACCCCUGUAAUUUCUCCAAAUGUAGAAAAUCCAACUGCAAUUUGCUAUAGUUGUGUGUGUGUGUGUGUGUGUAUGU
This 165-nucleotide small nuclear RNA is filed under the name Mus spicilegus (steppe mouse). RNAcentral's name for it is "U1 spliceosomal RNA (ENSMSIG00000012935.1)". Lineage: Eukaryota; Metazoa; Chordata; Mammalia; Rodentia; Muridae. The record is from RNAcentral.